Molecule: long non-coding RNA, 3183 nt
Organism: Armigeres subalbatus
Lineage: Eukaryota; Metazoa; Arthropoda; Insecta; Diptera; Culicidae
Exons: 2
Source: RefSeq, a predicted model, not a curated record
AAUAAAAUUACAAUAAUUUUUAUUUCUUCGAAAAUGUGUUUUGUACAUAUAAUAGAUUUACAAUAUUUUUUGUUGUUUGUCACAUUUUUGUUUGUUGUUUUGUUUUCUUUAGAUUUAACUAUUUGUAAUUUACGAAAAUUUGUGCUGUUUCUUAAAGAGCAUGCAGGUAGGAAACUCGGCAAAAAGAUUAUCUUUUCAAUUAUUUAUAUAAUAUAAAACUUGUCAUCUACAUUUCCAGAAAUUUACAAGAUUGUGAGAAUCCAGCUUUUGACGGUCGAUGCCAAGAAGGUGAAGUUUAUCAUCGCUGCAUGGUUGCAAAAUCCGCAAAAUUGAGUUCCGCUGCCGGGUGUCGGUGCCUAUAGGCAAGCAGCGCAACGAGAACGGCCAGAACAAUGUGUCGAUGAUGGGAUUCGAACAUUGAAAGGGCGAGAGACAUGAGCGACCGGACCAUCACUGACGAUCGCGACCGGGAGGAACAUCACCGCGACUAGAGGAGGUUGGAGGUGAGCGUGAUGUUAUUGUCAUUCGUUCAACCACCCCUCCUCAAUACUACCCAGAGCGGAAAAGUGGUUCAACGUCCAACGUGUGCGAUAUGUGAUCCGUCGCCUAAACUCAAAGGCUUGAUAGAAAAGAAAAUGAUAGAAAACGACAAAAUAGGUUCGAUUUAACAAACAUACAGCUGAAUAAUAAGGAGGAUACGCGCCAAGUUGGUACACAAGUCGUCGAGGAUGACUACGAAGGAAAACAUGAAGGUGAACUGGAGUUGAGCCACUCAGUCCUAGAGGACAAUCCAGAUUACAAGGCCACUCGCGAUGAAAGUAGGAAAGGGUCGGUGCGUGUAUCCGGGAAUCAGUCAUAAAAAAGAACAUCGGACGAAGACACCUGAAACUAAAGCACUUCAAGCAGAUAUUUCUUCCGGUUUCAGUGGAAACUAAGGACGCUUUACAUAGAGUGUGGAUCGAACUGCUCGACUAAACGGUGUUGCUGCAAGAAGUUGUACGAAAUUAGAUAGAUAUUUUUUGAAACUACGGGAGGAAAAAAAAAUUAGGUGACAUAGAAUGGCGUUCGUUAGCGCUCGCUGAAUAACCGCAAAUUGUAAUGUUCAUAACGAAGAAUUCUAUUUCCGAGAAGAUCUAUUAAUAAUAUAUUAUAUUGCAUUGAUGGUAGGGCGAUUUGAUUUUUACGCAGAUUAUUGUUUAUGUAACAAAAGAAUAUUUGUAUGCUUGUCCAAACAUUCAAUCAGUGCCUUUAAACUUUUUGAACCGAACAUAAGUGCAUGUUUGAAUGAAUACAUUGAACGAUAAGGAUUGAAAUCAUAGAACAGUUACGAGAAUAUACAUAAUAGAGAAAGAAACAAAAGAAAAAUCUGCUGAAUUCGGCAUCAAUUGUUUUUUAUCUACCAUUAUCAUUAUAUAUAUAUACUUCUAGUUAUUAGUGCAAUAUGCUGAGUUGAGGAAAUAAAAUUAACAUUACAGUAUACAUACAUCAUACCGUGCACACUUAAUUUUUUUUGCCGUGAUCUCAGCGAAAUGCUCAACUUUUACCGAGAUUCGCACAGCCGUGCCCCAGCAAACAUGUUUUUUGCCGAGAUUUCUGUCAAAAUAGCUGAAAAUCAGCAAUUAAUUUGCCGCAAAUCAGCUAACAAACGUCAUUUUUGCCGGGAUAUCAGCUUUUUAUUUUGCUGGCGCACGGCUGUGCGGAUUUUUGCCGAGCUGCAGAAGUAAAAACUAAGUGUGUGGUAUAUAAUCUCAUUGACAAUGUUUAAUUUACAUUUAUCAAGCUAUAAUCCCACGAAAAAAAAUUCGUUUUAUUGUCUUGCAAACUAACAAUAAGCCUUUUUUAUUAUAAAAACAAUUGAUAAACAAUAAAAGUAAUAGUUUUGGUCAAAGAACUAUAACAAUAUCGGAACAAUAGAAAUAAUUGUUUUGUGUUCUAAAAUGUAUGAGAAAAAAAGGAUUUUUUUACUGUGUUACCGACCAAUCGGAACCAAUUUAAUUAAACCCACGUUAUGGAAGUCAAGUGGCAAUAGAUAGUUAGCUUUGAUGGAUAGGAGCUUUGUAACGAUGUAAUUAAAUUUAAAAUUUUCCGUGUAAUAUCCCUUGCUACGUCCGCGAUAGGAAUGAGUACGUCUCACAUCUUAAAAACAAAUUGUAACCUAUUUAUAUCUACGAGAGUGGCAUCCUUGCCUUUAAUGACAGUUCCGGUAAUAAGAAAGAGAAGGAGGAGAGAAGAGAAGAAGGAGAGAGUGAGGAAGGAAGAAAACGGGAGAGCUGACGAGAGGAAAACGAAAAGGGGGCAGAAAGUGUCUGAUCCUCGACGGUUACGGUGUUCGAUCCGAAUGAUAUUAAAAAAGAAAAGAGAAGUGGUUGACAAGUUUGGAAGCUAACAAGUUUGGAAGGAGUGUGAUUGCCAGAAUCCUUGGCGAACCGGGAAAGUGUUCCGGUGAAGAGAAAACCGGUUGUUGUGAAAGGGACGGUCCUCGAGAAAGCUGGGCACUACCGCGUGAGAGUCCAUUCGGCGGGAUUGGCCAGUUGGCGAAGAAGGCGGAACUCGACAAAGCCGGGAAGAAAAGCGUGGUAGUGUCCCUUCGGUGGAGAUUGCCAGUUGGCGAAGAAGACGGAAUUUCCAAACGCCGGCCCGGAACCGUAGUGGAGCGGAUGUCAUCAGCCACCAUUCUCUAAAAGCCGUCAUUGGGAAGGUCGGCGAGCUCAGUACCGGUGGUCAGUGAGUGACGCUAUCGCUGAAUCACACGCCACGAGGGUACGGUGACGAACGUUUUCGCGGUGAGGGCGACGGUGAGGUCCGAGGGCAUGCCCCGCUUGCCGCCGCUCAACAUCCUAUGAGUCACCACCCCGUCUGCGGGCGCUGAGACGUCGACCAAGGUUCAACAAGCUCCGAAAACCAACAUCCCUCCGCAAAUCGACAGCAGAACACCCUGUUACGAACCACCAAGGAACUCGGAACAGCCGAUCGUCAUCCAUGACCCAGAGGGACUACCCGAAGUCCGACUGCCCACGACGGAGUGCUUCAAAUUGCGAUUGUGGAUCAGAUGUGUGAAGCAGACCGUUGGGCAAGUAACCAAUUUGUUCCUCUCCUUCUCUCUCAAUAUGCACGUGCACGGCCGCAACGAUUCUUUUUUUUCUGACUAUGGAUUACUUUAUAAAUAAAUAUGUUUAAGCCUAA